CCAGACUCCUACGGGAGGCAGCAGUGGGGGAUAUUGGACAAUGGGGGGAACCCUGAUCCAGCGACGCCGCGUGAGUGAAGAAGUAUUUCGGUAUGUAAAGCUCUGUCAGCAGGGAAGAAAGAAAUGACGGUACCUGACCAAGAAGCCCCGGCUAACUACGUGCCAGCAGCCGCGGUAAUACGGAGGAUGCGAGCGUUAUCCGGAUUUAUUGGGUUUAAAGGGUGCGUAGGCGGGACGUUAAGUCAGCGGUAAAAAUGCGGAGCUAAACUCCGUCGAGCCGUUGAAACUGCCGUUCUUGAGUGAGCGAGAAGUAUGCGGAAUGCGUGGUGUAGCGGUGAAAUGCAUAGAUAUCACGCAGAACUCCGAUUGCGAAGGCAGCAUACCGGCGCUCAACUGACGCUGAAGCACGAAGGCGUGGGUAUCGAACAGGAUUAGAUACCCUAGUAGA
RNAcentral lists this ribosomal RNA (448 nucleotides) under uncultured bacterium. RNAcentral describes it as "bacterial SSU rRNA". It matches the Rfam family "Bacterial small subunit ribosomal RNA", at positions 331 to 794 of the family's 1533-position model. The record is from RNAcentral.